GUGCCAGCAGCCGCGGUAAUACGUAGGGUGCAAGCGUUAUCCGGAAUUAUUGGGCGUAAAGAGCUCGUAGGCGGUUUGUCACGCCUGGUGUGAAAGUCCAUCGCUUAACGGUGGAUCUGCGCCGGGUACGGGCAGGCUAGAGUGCAGUAGGGGAGAUUGGAAUUCCCGGUGUAACGGUGGAAUGUGUAGAUAUCGGGAAGAACACCAAUGGCGAAGGCAGAUCUCUGGGCUGUUACUGACGCUGAGGAGCGAAAGCAUGGGGAGCGAACAGGAUUAGAUACCCUGGUAGUCC
RNAcentral lists this ribosomal RNA (292 nucleotides) under uncultured microorganism. RNAcentral describes it as "partial 16S ribosomal RNA". It matches the Rfam family "Bacterial small subunit ribosomal RNA", at positions 505 to 796 of the family's 1533-position model. The record is from RNAcentral.